This 501-nucleotide ribosomal RNA is filed under the name uncultured bacterium. RNAcentral describes it as "partial 16S ribosomal RNA". It matches the Rfam family "Bacterial small subunit ribosomal RNA", at positions 29 to 523 of the family's 1533-position model. The record is from RNAcentral.
AGUGAACGCUGGCGGCAGGCUUAACACACGCAAGUCGAGCGGGCGAGGUUGCUUCGGUAACUGAGCUAGCGGCGGACGGGUGAGUAAUGCUUAGGAAUCUGCCUAUUAGUGGGGGACAACAUUCCGAAAGGGAUGCUAAUACCGCAUACGUCCUACGGGAGAAAGCAGGGGAUCAUUUGACCUUGCGCUAAUAGAUGAGCCUAAGUCGGAUUAGCUAGUUGGUGGGGUAAAGGCCUACCAAGGCGACGAUCUGUAGCGGGUCUGAGAGGAUGAUCCGCCACACUGGGACUGAGACACGGCCCAGACUCCUACGGGAGGCAGCAGUGGGGAAUAUUGGACAAUGGGGGGAACCCUGAUCCAGCCAUGCCGCGUGUGUGAAGAAGGCCUUUUGGUUGUAAAGCACUUUAAGUGGGGAGGAGGCUUACCUGGUUAAUACCUGGGCUAAGUGGACGUUACCCACAGAAUAAGCACCGGCUAACCCUGUGCCAGCCGCCGCCGUAA